UACGUAGGGGGCAAGCGUUAUCCGGAUUUACUGGGUGUAAAGGGAGCGUAGACGGCAGGGCAAGUCUGGAGUGAAAGGCGGGGGCUCAACCCCCGGACUGCUCUGGAAACUGCCAGGCUGGAGUGCAGGAGAGGUAAGUGGAAUUCCUAGUGUAGCGGUGAAAUGCGUAGAUAUUAGGAGGAACACCAGUGGCGAAGGCGGCUUACUGGACUGUAACUGACGUUGAGGCUCGAAAGCGUGGGGAGCAAACAGG
This 253-nucleotide ribosomal RNA is filed under the name uncultured bacterium. Its description in RNAcentral is "partial 16S ribosomal RNA". It matches the Rfam family "Bacterial small subunit ribosomal RNA", at positions 524 to 776 of the family's 1533-position model. The record is from RNAcentral.